UACAGGGGGUGCAAACGUUGCUCGGAAUCAUUGGGCGUAAAGCGCACGUAGGCGGUCUGUUAUGUCGGAUGUGAAAGCCCUUGGCUUAACUGAGGAAGUGCAUCCGAAACUGGCAGGCUAGAGUACUAAAGAGGGUCGCGGAAUUCCCGGUGUAGAGGUGAAAUUCGUAGAUAUCGGGAGGAACACCGGUGGCGAAGGCGGCGACCUGGGUAGAUACUGACGCUGAGGUGCG
This 232-nucleotide ribosomal RNA is filed under the name uncultured bacterium. Its description in RNAcentral is "partial 16S ribosomal RNA". It matches the Rfam family "Bacterial small subunit ribosomal RNA", at positions 524 to 755 of the family's 1533-position model. The record is from RNAcentral.